CGCCUCUUGAAACCAUAUAAGAGGUCCAGCCUGCCCAGUGACUAAGUUCAACGGCCGCGGUAUCCUAACCGUGCGAAGGUAGCGUAAUCACUUGUUCUUUAAAUGAGGACUAGUAUGAAUGGCACCACGAGGGUUAUACUGUCUCCUUUCUCUAAUCAAUGAAACUGAUCUCCCCGUGAAGAAGCGGGGAUAAAUUUAUAAGACGAGAAGACCCUAUGGAGCUUUAAACUACGUGACACUGGCUUAUAUUCUACUGUGUUUCAGAAUUACCACAAUUAUACUAGCUAGUAUGAUUACUAGUUUUAGGUUGGGGUGACCACGGAGCAAAAAUUAACCUCCAUGAUGAACGGAACCUAUUCCUGAGCUAAAAGCUACAACUUUAAGCACUAACAAAUUAACAUUAAUUGACCCAAAAUAUUGAUCAACGAACCA
Molecule: ribosomal RNA, 432 nt
Filed under: Dendropsophus sp. minutus group
Lineage: Eukaryota; Metazoa; Chordata; Amphibia; Anura; Hylidae
Description: partial 16S ribosomal RNA
Rfam family: Bacterial large subunit ribosomal RNA
Source: RNAcentral